GCGUUCAUGGUGUAGGGGUUAGCACAAGAGGUUUCCAACCUCUUAGCCCGGGUUCAAAUCCCGGUGAGCGCACCA
RNAcentral lists this transfer RNA (75 nucleotides) under Methanobacteriota archaeon. RNAcentral's name for it is "Euryarchaeota archaeon tRNA-Gly". It matches the Rfam family "tRNA". From Rfam's summary of the family: Transfer RNA (tRNA) molecules are approximately 80 nucleotides in length. Their secondary structure includes four short double-helical elements and three loops (D, anti-codon, and T loops). The record is from RNAcentral. Lineage: Archaea; Methanobacteriati; Methanobacteriota. RNAcentral also lists the same sequence under 4 other names.